UACGUAGGGUGCAAGCGUUGUCCGGAAUUAUUGGGCGUAAAGAGCUCGUAGGCGGUCUGUCGCGUCUGCUGUGAAAACUCAGGGCUUAACCCUGAGCUUGCAGUGGGUACGGGCAGACUAGAGUGCGGUAGGGGAGACUGGAAUUCCUGGUGUAGCGGUGAAAUGCGCAGAUAUCAGGAGGAACACCGGUGGCGAAGGCGGGUCUCUGGGCCGUAACUGACGCUGGAGGAGCGAAAGCAUGGGGAGCAAACAGG
RNAcentral lists this ribosomal RNA (254 nucleotides) under uncultured bacterium. RNAcentral's name for it is "partial 16S ribosomal RNA". It matches the Rfam family "Bacterial small subunit ribosomal RNA", at positions 524 to 776 of the family's 1533-position model. The record is from RNAcentral.